This 427-nucleotide ribosomal RNA is filed under the name Bacillota bacterium. Its description in RNAcentral is "Firmicutes bacterium partial 16S ribosomal RNA". It matches the Rfam family "Bacterial small subunit ribosomal RNA", at positions 355 to 776 of the family's 1533-position model. Lineage: Bacteria; Bacillati; Bacillota. The record is from RNAcentral.
UCGGGAAUUUUGGGCAAUGGGCGAAAGCCUGACCCAGCAACGCCGCGUGAAGGAUGAAAUCCCUCGGGAUGUAAACUUCGCAAGAACGGGAAGAAUAAGUAAGGGUUAAUAUCUCUUACGAUGACGGUACUGUUUGUAAGCUCCGGCUAACUCCGUGCCAGCAGCCGCGGUAAUACGGGGGGAGCAAGCGUUGUUCGGAUUUACUGGGCGUAAAGGGCGCGUAGGCGGCCACCGCAAGUCGACUGUGAAAUCUCCGGGCUUAACCCGGAAAGGUCAGCCGAUACUGCGGUGCUAGAGUGCAGAAGGGGCAACUGGAAUUCUCGGUGUAGCUGUGAAAUGCGUAGAUAUCGAGAGGAACACCUGCGGCGAAGGCGGGUUGCUGGGCUGACACUGACGCGGAGGCGCGAAAGCUAGGGGAGCGAACGGG